CAUCACUACGCUAGAUGCAUAUCAAUAAGCGGAGGAAAAGAAACUAACAAGGAUUCCCCUAGUAACGGCGAGUGAAGCGGGAAGAGCUCAAAUUUGAAAUCUUCAAGGUUUGACCUUGACGAAUUGUAGUUUAAAGAAGUGUUUUCGGUUAGAGGAGUAGUAAAAGUUCUUUGGAAUAGGACAUCAUAGAGGGUGAGAAUCCCGUAUUUGACUAUUCUUUCUAGCUUUGUGAUACACUUUCAAAGAGUCGGAUUGUUUGGGAAUGCAGUCCAAAAUGGGUGGUAAAUUUCAUCUAAAGCUAAAUAUUGGCGAGAGACCGAUAGCGAACAAGUACCGUGAGGGAAAGAUGAAAAGAACUUUGAAAAGAGAGUUAAACAGUACGUGAAAUUGUCAAAAGGGAAGCGUUUGACACCAGUGUUGUUUUUCCGAAAAUCAAUUAAAAAUUGAUUCAUGCCAGGUUAUUGACCUUAUCAGCUUGCAAUUUGGUUUUGGGUACUCUUCUUGAUGCACUUUUCGGUUAACAAGUCAACAUCAAUUUCCUUUGCUGUAAAAAGGUAAGAGGAAGGUGGCUUCAAUUUCGGUUGAAGUGUUUAUAGCCUUUUAUCUCUGCAGUCGGGGAGAUUGAGGUCUGCAGCGUAGAUCCUUCGGGGCUAGAUACAUUUGUGCUAAGUUAUAGCUUUUCAUAGACAACUUGUUGACUAUGUUUAGUCAUGUAGCUUACUCGUAAGUGCUAUUUUACCUACGCUUAGGAUGUUGACACACGCGCGUGCUCG
This 773-nucleotide ribosomal RNA is filed under the name uncultured Neocallimastigales. RNAcentral's name for it is "partial large subunit ribosomal RNA". It matches the Rfam family "Eukaryotic large subunit ribosomal RNA", at positions 20 to 643 of the family's 3401-position model. The record is from RNAcentral. Lineage: Eukaryota; Fungi; Neocallimastigomycota; Neocallimastigomycetes; Neocallimastigales.